This 77-nucleotide transfer RNA is filed under the name Staphylococcus aureus. RNAcentral describes it as "Ile-tRNA". It matches the Rfam family "tRNA". From Rfam's summary of the family: Transfer RNA (tRNA) molecules are approximately 80 nucleotides in length. The record is from RNAcentral. Lineage: Bacteria; Bacillati; Bacillota; Bacilli; Caryophanales; Staphylococcaceae.
GGGCCUAUAGCUCAGCUGGUUAGAGCGCACGCCUGAUAAGCGUGAGGUCGGUGGUUAGAGUCCACUUAGGCCCACCA